This 1162-nucleotide long non-coding RNA is filed under the name Nicotiana tabacum (common tobacco). RNAcentral describes it as "long non-coding RNA (NTAB_LNC012729)". The record is from RNAcentral. Lineage: Eukaryota; Viridiplantae; Streptophyta; Magnoliopsida; Solanales; Solanaceae.
UUGGCUUUUAGCUGGCCAAAACCAGAAACAAUUAGCACAGAAUCAGAAUAAGAGAGCUUAAGAUUUUUUUAGUGAGAGUAUGAGAGUUCGAGUCUGUCUCCAAAAGGGAGAAGGAGAAGUGUUUAAAUAGUACUCAAUUAGGAAAACAAAUAAGGGAAUAAAUCAAGCAUACACAAAUAAGGAAUGAAAAUAAUUCUAGAAUUAAUUUGAAGUCGAGUUCAAUCAAUUAGCAGGAUAUAAAAGCGUGUAAUAAGGCAAGUACUACUUAGACGAAGGCAGGUAUUAUACAGAAUCAAUCAACAGUCAAAUUCCGGAACAACUAAGGUAAUGAAAUAAUAGGAAAAUGGUAAGUCGAGCAAAAAUAAGGAAACAUCAGUAUCAUACAAGAAAGGAAAGAUUAAAAUCUCAGUAAAAGAUUUCAAAACCGUAAUUUUUGGGUAAACCAUAAAAUCAGUGGAGUAAAAUAAGGUAGACAAGAGAAUAUUCAAAAGGCAAACCAUAAAAUUAGCACAAUAUCACAUCAUGAACCUAGACAGGAGUUUUAAAAGAUAACAUAAUCAAUUAAGAUCUUAAAAUACCAUAAUUUUAAGUUAACACAAAUUGAUAGAGCAAUAAAGGCAAAGGAUCGUUUGUUUUAAUAAAAGAACAUAGAUAGAGAGUUAUUAAAGAAAACAUAAGAUUUGAACCAAAUAUGGUUCGAUUAAAGAAGGUUAAAACCCUAGUUUAGGCAAGUAAAAGAUUUAAUGGAAAAUAAGCGGAUUUAUGAGUAACGAAAUAAAUAUAGACGAAAAAUAACAUUAAAACAAACUAAAGCUAAACCAAAUCUGGUUCUAAUCAAAGAUCUGAAAACCCUGACUUUGGGUUAUGUACGAAUCAGUGGAAGAUAUAAAAAUAUUCAUACUCACAUAAGAAAGCUGAUAAACAUAGAUGGGAAGGACCAAAGAUCUGAACCGGAUUUGGUUCACAAUAGGAGAGAUCUGCUUGCCAUGUUAGUCAAGCAAUUAUGUAACACCAUAAAUGAGUAGCCAGUAGCGAGAUAGGCUCGAUAAGGUAAGGAAAUCAUUGAUUGAUUCCAUAUUAGCUUGGAAUCGGAGGGGAUAAUAGGUGACAGUGCUAGGGUUUUGAGAGGAAGAAGAUGAAAGAGUGGGAGUGUAUAAAGACG